AAUUUCUUGGUUCAUCAGUAUAUCACAGGCAGCGGCAAUGCAAACUUCCCCACAAUGCCCCAUCAACAUGCUUUAAUCCUGACCUGAAUAGGCCACCUCUAGGAUUUAGAGGGUGGUU
This 118-nucleotide small RNA is filed under the name Chrysemys picta bellii (western painted turtle). Its description in RNAcentral is "TUC338 (ENSCPBG00000013388.1)". The record is from RNAcentral. Lineage: Eukaryota; Metazoa; Chordata; Testudines; Emydidae.